RNAcentral lists this ribosomal RNA (479 nucleotides) under Puccinia graminis. RNAcentral describes it as "eukaryotic LSU rRNA". The stretch from base 322 to 479 matches the Rfam family "Eukaryotic large subunit ribosomal RNA", at positions 1 to 158 of the family's 3401-position model. Lineage: Eukaryota; Fungi; Basidiomycota; Pucciniomycetes; Pucciniales; Pucciniaceae. The record is from RNAcentral.
AGUGAAAUGUGAUAAGUAAUGUGAAUUGCAAAAUUCAGUGAAUCAUCAAAUCUUUGAACGCAUCUGGCCCCUUUUGGUUUUCCAAAAGGUACCCCUGUUUGAGUGUCAUGAAACCCUCUCAUUAAACUUUUUAUUUUUGAUUUGUUUAGGGGAUGUUGAGUGUUGCUGUACCUAUAGCUCACUUUAAAUAUAUAAGUCACUUUUCAAAUAAGUUGGAUUGACUUGGUGUAAUAAUUUUAUCAUCACAUCAAGGAAAGUAGUAAAACACUUGCCAUCUUGUUUGUUAAUAAGAGACUCCUAAAACCCAAUAUCUUAUUUUUAAGACCUCAAAUCAGGUGGGACUACCCGCUGAACUUAAGCAUAUCAAUAAGCGGAGGAAAAGAAACUAACAAGGAUUCCCCUAGUAACGGCGAGUGAAGAGGGAAAAGCCCAAAUUUGUAAUCUGGCUCUUUCAGAGUCCGAGUUGUAAUUUUAAGAAC